Molecule: ribosomal RNA, 365 nt
Filed under: uncultured eukaryote
Lineage: Eukaryota
Description: partial 18S ribosomal RNA
Rfam family: Eukaryotic small subunit ribosomal RNA
Source: RNAcentral
CAAUAGCGUAUAUUUAAGUUGUUGCAGUUAAAAAGCUCGUAGUCGGAUUUUGGCUGAGAACGAACGGUCCGCCGUUAGGUGUGCACUGUUUGGUCUCAGCUUCCUGGUGAGGAGGUGUGCUUCACGGCCACUUAGUCACCGUGGUUACUUUGAAAAAAUUAGAGUGUUCAAAGCGGGCUUACGCUUGAAUAUAUUAGCAUGGAAUAACACCAUAGGACUCCUGUCCUAUUUCGUUGGUCUCGGGACGGGAGUAAUGAUUAAGAGGAACAGUUGGGGGCAUUCGUAUUUCAUUGUCAGAGGUGAAAUUCUUGGAUUUAUGAAGGACGAACUUCUGCGAAAGCAUUUGCCAAGGAUGUUUUCAUUGA